RNAcentral lists this ribosomal RNA (335 nucleotides) under uncultured Pneumocystis. RNAcentral's name for it is "partial small subunit ribosomal RNA". It matches the Rfam family "Bacterial small subunit ribosomal RNA", at positions 978 to 1313 of the family's 1533-position model. The record is from RNAcentral. Lineage: Eukaryota; Fungi; Ascomycota; Pneumocystomycetes; Pneumocystales; Pneumocystaceae.
UUCUUGNAUAUUAAAAAAAAACAAUUAAAUUUUAAUUGUUAAAUUUUAAAUACAGGUGUUGCAUGGCUGUCUUUAGUUCGUGUUGUGAAAUGUUAGGUUAAUUCCGAUAACGAACGCAAACCUUUUUAAUUAAUUAUAAUAAUAUAUAUAUAUAUAUUAUUAAUAUAAUAAUAUAUCUUUCUAUAUGAAGGAGUAAUUAGGAUGAAGACAAGUCCUCAUGACCCUAAUGAAGUGGGCUACAGACGUGCCACAAAGAUUUUUACAAAGGGAUGCAAAGAUGAAAAUUCGAGCUAAUCCUUAAAGAAAAUCUUAGAACAGAUAAGAAUCUGAAACUC